RNAcentral lists this long non-coding RNA (5247 nucleotides) under Sus scrofa (pig). RNAcentral describes it as "lncRNA (ENSSSCG00040013496.1)". The record is from RNAcentral. Lineage: Eukaryota; Metazoa; Chordata; Mammalia; Artiodactyla; Suidae.
UUUUUCUUUUUCUUUUUGCCUUUUCUUGGGCCAGCCUACAGCCUAGGCCAGAGCCAAAAAAUAAAUAAAUAAAAUAAAAAUAGAACAUUGAGAUUAACACAUACACACAGGAAUGCAAAAGCAAAAACACUGAAGUCAUUCUCUAUUAAUAUUAUGCUACCUCAGAAUCUGCAAAACUCCACUGUUUGACUGAUACAUUUAAAGGAUUAUGAUGAAAUGGGAAUGGGUUUAAAAUUAUAGAAGUCAGCUUAAGAAUCUGGAACUUGGUUUAGUUGACCUAUAAACAUCAAGCUACAUUACAGAAGUUGUGAUGUUCUCUAAAAAACUUUGGAAAAGUCCUUCAUCAAAAAUGAACAGUAAAAAAUAUAAGGCAAGAAAAGUGAGAAACUCAAUGGCUAUUUCCUAAUUCCUAGGGAGAGAAAGAGCAUAUGUAUCAGUAGCCAUCUAGGUCAAGAUGACCAUACUCUGAGACCAGACAGAGGAUCUCUGAGUUCCUCUUGCAUUAAAGCCUGACUUACUGUAAGAAUGUGUAUGGGAUAAAAAUUAUUUCACUAACUCCAAUAUUAAUUUAUUAUCCACUCAACAACUUAAGUAUUGUCACAAAUCAUGAAAGGCCAUUAUGAACACAUAGGCAAGAGAUCUUGCUCUACACUAAGGAAUACCGUCCAUUAGAAUUUUCUGCAAUGUUGCAAAUCUAACAGAGUUAGAUAUCCAAUAUGGUAGCCAUUAGCACAGGUAGUUAUGGAGAACAUGUGAUAUAGCUACUGUGAUUGAAGAACUGAAGAUUUUAUAUUUUAAUUGCUUUAAACUUAAAUAGUCACAUGUGACUAAUAACUACAUUAGCCAGGAACACUGUAGAGAGUAAACAAAGUAUGUGGACAAGUAAUCAACUGUUAUCUAUGAAAACAUGCGUCAGUCUGCACAGGGAAAAACAAAAAAUCUUAUUCUUCUUUGAUCUAUUUAGUUCCAUCACCACCACUUUUUUGGGUCUCUAAGGUCACCUGUUGGGUUUCUGAAAGUUGGUAAAUACAAAGCUAGGGUAGAAAAUCUCAUUAAAUCAGAAUAUUGCAGGUGGUAGAAAACAUUUAAACAUGGCCACUUAUGUAAGCACCCCAUGUUUGUAAAGGGGUCACAUAUUACAUUAUGCAGCCCACUCAUGUGGAGAUAGCAACCAAGUUUACCAAAACUGUGAAUAACAACAGAUAUGUAGCUUAGAGAGAGAAGUAUAAACUUGACUUAAUGGGAGUUUUCAGACCAAUGGGAGAGUUCUUUUAAGAAUCAACUGUUCUUAGCUUUAGGCUUAUAGUCCAAAAAAAAAAAAAAUAGAUGAAAGUUCUAUCAAGAAAAUACAGAUCUUAUGCAAAGAGCUUUCUUCAAACUUCAACAUUAGGCAAUAGAAUGGGUUUGCAAAGAACGACUAUGCAAUCUCUAACUCAGGAAACUGUCAUAUAUGCCAUGUGGCUUAACUCACUGGUGUCAUUCACUAUAUACUAUUUCUAGAAUUAUGUGUUUUAUUUCAGCUGAUUAAGUUUAGCUGAGUUUCUUACAUAACGGUCUUGCUGUUUCUUUUCCAGACUUUCAACUCCCACAUAGUCUAGUGUGGAAGUAUAAUUAUUUCCUUAAAAGUAAAUGCUCCGUUAAGGUUAAUAUGUUCAGUUAAAGUUAAUAAGCUCUUGUAUAUGUUAUUAUUAAGGUCACUGUCUAGUUGUAAAAGGUAACAAUGUAGUUGGCACUGUAUUGAGGUACCAACGAUGCAAUUCUUAACCUGAGGGCAUAAAUCUAAAAUUUAGCCGAAUGAAAGGUAACAAGAUAGCUACAAUUUGAUUAUUCAGAACUUUUAUUGGUAGCUAAGCUCUAGGGAGAAAAUGAGUUUUUAGAAGAAUUAUGGAAGAGUAUGCAAUGACAUUAAUUUCAAUUUUUAAAAAUUAGGGAACAUAAAAGAAAUAAGAAAACAAAUUGAUAUAUUGGGCAAUAAUUCUGAGAGAGUAAUAAACUUGGAAUGUAUUCAUUAGCAGUCAACAAUAUGUUUAGGGGAUUAAUUAUUAAUGAUGUUGCAGAGAGUCAAAUCCUGCUAUGGGCUGUAAUUAUUAAAUGUGGUUUUGAUGAGCAACAAUUAUGUGAGCACAACAUUCCUUUUCAGAGUUUGUUCUGUUUUGUCUUAGGCUUUCAUUAUUCACGGUUUGCUGCAAAUAAGAACUGUAAUAUGAUACUACAGAUGCAAAACCUUGGGGUGGUCCCCUGUGCCACCAGAUUUCUACCAACACUUACUCUCUACUCUCAGCAAUCAGAGAAUCUUUAAGAAAUGUUUUUACCCUAUAACAUCACCGCCAACCCAGGGAACAAGCAAAAUGGAAGCAUCAAAAUGAGGUAAUGCAGGAGGAAGAGAAAGAGUUUCAGGUGGUUAACAAAAGGAUGAUGGAUUUGAGGGCAGCAGGUGAUGAAAGAUUAAAAAACCUGAGACAAAGAAAGAGUUAGGAGGGUUGAGACUUCAGGAACCCUGCUUUCCUGUCUCCAGUUCUUAAUCUGGCUGAAGGUAUGGGCAGCCAUGAUUGUUAGGACUUGUAACAGAUGACAACCUGCAGUCAACAGAUCAUCAACUACCUCCUACCACCAGUGUGACAAAGACCACAAGAAGGUCUGGGCUGAAAAUCAGAUCACCCAGCCUCUAGAUAGCUGGUAAGGCUGCCAUUAUCAGAUUUGCACUAGGGCUGCUGGACACUUUUUAUGGCAGAUGCCACUGGGUAGGAACAUGGGUUCUGGAGUCAGACUGCCUUGGUUCAAGCUUCACACCACUAACCAGCUGUGUGAACUUAGCAGGUUAAUUAUGCUCAGUUAGGCCUGGGUUCCCCCAACUGUGAAUGAGGACACAAUGAUACUGACCUGAUAGCCCGCCCGGGAAGACUGAAGAAGAUCAUGUUCAGGAGAACUACAGAAGAGUGCCUGGCUUAUAAUAAGCACUCAAAAAUAUUACUUAGGAUUAUUUGUAGCUUUCCUACUGUGUUAUAAUAUAGUUUAACUAUAUUUUCAUAACAAACAAAAUUAUUGAUAUUUAACAGCUACUUAACAGAUAGACAUGGUGGUUUUAGUGGCUGGGAAUCUCAUUAAAUAGGUUCCUAAUAGUCAGCUGAUAUUUAGUGAGCAUAUUAGUGGCCUUAUUGCUUUUAAAUUAAGCUCUUAUUUCAACCAUUUAAUUUCUGUUUAUAACAUACUUCCAGCCUUUUUACAAAAAAAGAAAAAACAUAUAAAACUUCUCUUAUAAAAGAAUAAUGAUAUCUAUUGACCUGUUUUCUUCCUUGUUUUUAUUGACUACUUAAAUCCUUAGAAGCAUUUGGGCAAAGAUACUUUGAGCUGUUCAAUCCUGCUAGGUCGUAUGCUGUUGUGAAAUUAUUUUCUGCCCAACCACAAAUACAAUAUACUUGUAUAACUUCCUCUUUUACAUUUCCAGUUUCUGAUUCACAGACAAUCACAUGCAGAUUCUCUUUAUUUGGCAACACAACCUCUAUCUUUAUGUUCUUCUUUCUUUUCCCGGAUGUCUUUUCCCAUUGUGAUGACUUCAAUCCCAUCAUUUCUAUACCUGUCUACUUGCAAUAUCAAUAUUAUCUUAAUACUGUGUUUAUCUGUACUUUCUUCUACCCCAUACAUCCUGUCAGUAUAAACUUUUUCCCCUAGAUUGACUAACCAGCCUGGUUUAAUGUACUGUUUCUUUGUCCGUCUUCGGUUGAAUAUUACACAUUUAUCAGGCACUGAAUAAAAUGCAUGGCUUGUGCCAAAGUAAUAAAGGAUCAUUUUCUACUAGAAAAAGACACAUGUACUAAUCAUACAGCCAAGAGCAAGCUGACCCUGCUUGAGAUCUUGCAGCAAAGUGCAGAAACUCACAAAAGCUCUCACAAAAGAAUCAACAAUAAACAUCUAUUAGGUUGUCAGCUGUAAACACCUGCCAAGAUGCUGCAUCACCGCAUGAGGAGCCGUGAAAUAAUGUCCUGUCUUUUUUUACCUCUUCUUCUUCUUCACUCCCAACCCUUGAAGAGUCAGAAACUUCUAUGGGUGAGUCAGAGAAGAAAGGAGAAGAAGAUUAGGUAAUAAAUCUCUCCAACCCCGACUUCAAAUCCAGGCUUCCCUCUGAGCUGCUAGACAGGAAGAAGCCUCAACAUUAACACCAAACAAAAGUUUUUAUUAUGACAUGCAACUGACAGUAAAAUUGCUAAACUCAGACAGUUGUCUAUGAUCUGAAGUUACCAGAAACCCAUAUUUCCCAAGAGUUAUGAGAAAAGCCAUGGAGCCUGCCUAACUUUUCGUACAGGGAUGGGAAAGUCUCAUUCCACAGACCAUGUUUAAAAGGAUAGAGGGAGGCCAAGUCAAGACUGCUUUCUGGCUGGAGGAUGCAAGUCAUAGCAGUUCAAUGUGGCAGUUGCUUUUUAAGAGAAAAUGGUGGACUUCCCAGUGUGGCUUAGUGAUAAUGAACCUGACUAGUAACCAUGAGGACUCAGGUUUGAUCCCUUGCCCUGUUCAAUGGGUUAAGGAUCAGGUGUCACUGCGAGUUGUGGUGCAGGUCACAAACCAGACUCAGCUUGGAUCUGGCGUUGCUGUGGCUGUGGUGUAGGGCUGUGGCUGCAACUCAAAUUCAACCCUUAAGCUUGAGGACUUCCAUAUGCCGCACUACAGAGCUUAAAAAAGAAAAAAAAAGAGAGAGAAUGGUGAUACCAGGGGCCAAAAUUGCUUCCCCAGGAAAGGAGAUGCAAAGGAGAGGGGCAGAGCGUAACUCAGCAAAUUGUCUUGAAACAGGGAAGCCAUCCUGAAAAGGAACCAUGUCAGUUGUCACCACUGGGUCAAGGACUGCUAGUCACUCCUUCAUGUCUGAUCUAUACCUAGGGACAUAGAAAGUCACCAGACUUCAAAUAGCUCCAUUUUCCUGAGCUGCUGAGAAGGAAUCAUCUAACAUGCCUCUCCCUUGCCUUCCAGGAAGGUAAAGAUUCUCGUGAAGAAUUAUUAUAAUUAUCCUUUUAAAUAAUAACUUAGGCAUUAAUGGAAACAUUAGUCUUCUGCAUGAUAAUAUUGCCAUCACUUAAAGACACAACUUAUGACAGCAAAACCGCCCAGAGAAGAGGCUCUAAAUCAAUGCAAAAUAACAAAAGGAUAGAAAACAUAUCCCUGGAGACAUACCAAGAACUGCACAUUGUUUUGCAUUUAUUAAAAUGCAGAUGUAAGCAUGAGGCAUAAAAUUACAAUAUUAAACCAAGAACUUAAAUU